GACGAACGCUGGCGGCGUGCUUAACACAUGCAAGUCGAACGGAAAGGCUCCAGCUUGCUGGAGUACUCGAGUGGCGAACGGGUGAGUAACACGUGGGUAAUCUGCCCUGCACUCUGGGAUAAGCCUGGGAAACUGGGUCUAAUACUGGAUAUGACCUUUCUCCUUAUGGGGUUUGGUGGAAAGUUUUUCGGUGUAGGAUGAGCCCGCGGCCUAUCAGCUUGUUGGUGGGGUGAUGGCCUACCAAGGCGACGACGGGUAGCCGGCCUGAGAGGGUGAUCGGCCACAUUGGGACUGAGAUACGGCCCAGACUCCUACGGGAGGCAGCAGUGGGGAAUAUUGCACAAUGAGCGGAAGCCUGAUGCAGCGACGCCGCGUGAGGGAUGACGGCCUUCGGGUUGUAAACCUCUUUCAGCAGGGACGAAGCGUAAGUGACGGUACCUGCAGAAGAAGCACCGGCUAACUAUGUG
RNAcentral lists this ribosomal RNA (467 nucleotides) under uncultured bacterium. RNAcentral describes it as "partial 16S ribosomal RNA". It matches the Rfam family "Bacterial small subunit ribosomal RNA", at positions 28 to 507 of the family's 1533-position model. The record is from RNAcentral.